Molecule: long non-coding RNA, 1151 nt
Filed under: Lonchura striata (white-rumped munia)
Lineage: Eukaryota; Metazoa; Chordata; Aves; Passeriformes; Estrildidae
Description: domestica (Bengalese finch) lncRNA (ENSLSDG00000016019.1)
Source: RNAcentral
AGGAGGGUCCCGCGGCCCCCCGGGCUGCGGGGCGGAGGGGGGAUGGAGGCAGGGAUGGAGGGAGGGAUGGAGGGAGGGAUGCAGGCAGGGAUGGAGGGAGGGAUGCAGGCAGGGAUGCAGGCAGGGAUGCAGGCAGGGAUGCAGGAGCGGACGGAAGGAUGGAAGGACGGGGCUCCAGGUCGAGGGUGGGCGCAGGGGGCGGUUGCCCCUUGCCAGAGGCAGCUCGCCGGCCGGGGGACGCUGGUGCCGGGCCCGGCACCGUCCCCGCCGGGGGUCUCGGGCUGCCGCGGACGGACCCUCCCGGGCCGGGGCAGCGGCUGCCGGGCAGCGCCGACUGCCACGAGGUGGAGGCAUGAAGACACAGCCGGGAUCGCUAAUGAAGCACCUAAUUACUGCCGCCUUUAAUUGGCUUUAUUGCCACCAGAGGGAGGCGGAGACACGCCGGUGGCUUUCCCGGGACAGCAGAACUCCAAGGCACCCCAGCAGAACCGCUCCGAGGUUAUCGGGGACCACACCCCGAGGUUUUUAGGGAGCACAUCCCGAGGUUAUUGGGGACCACACCCCGAGAUUAUCGGGGACCUCAUCCCGAGGUUAUUGGGGACCACACCCCGAGGUUUUUAGGGGGCACAUCCCGAGGUUAUUUGGGACCACACCCCGAGGUUUUUAGGGACCACACCCCGAGGUUUUUAGGGACCUCUCAUCCCGGGGUUAUUGGGGACCACAUUCCGAGGUUAUCAGGGACCACACCCCGAGGUUAUCAGGGAGCACAUCCCGAGGUUAUUUGGGACCACACCCCGAGGUUUUUAGGGACCACAUCCCAGGAUUAUUGGGGACCACAUCCCGAGGUUAUCAGGGACCACACCCCGAGGUUAUCAGGGAGCACACCCCGAGGUUUUUAGGGACCACAUCCCAGGAUUAUUGGGGACCACACCCCGAGGUUAUCAGGGACCACACCCCAGGUUAUCAGGGACCUCAGAUCCUCCUGGCACCUGGAGCAGAGCUCUCACCUGUCAGUGGCUGAUCCAUGCUGCCACCAAAUCCUUUGGGAAACUGUCGACUGCAAAGCUGCCAAAUUCUUCCAAAAUCUGUUCCUGGAGUGGUCAGUGUUGAUUAGACCCGAAUAAAAACCCAAAGUCCACAUGCUGCGUGCA